Molecule: ribosomal RNA, 468 nt
Filed under: uncultured bacterium
Lineage: Bacteria
Description: partial 16S ribosomal RNA
Rfam family: Bacterial small subunit ribosomal RNA
Source: RNAcentral
GACGAACGCUGGCGGCGUGCUUAACACAUGCAAGUCGAACGGAAAGGCCCUGCUUUUGUGGGGUGCUCGAGUGGCGAACGGGUGAGUAACACGUGAGUAACCUGCCCUUGACUUUGGGAUAACUUCAGGAAACUGGGGCUAAUACCGGAUAGGAGCUCCUGCUGCAUGGUGGGGGUUGGAAAGUUUCGGCGGUUGGGGAUGGACUCGCGGCUUAUCAGCUUGUUGGUGGGGUAGCGGCUUACCAAGGCUUUGACGGGUAGCCGGCCUGAGGGGGUGACCGGCCACAUUGGGACUGAGAUACGGCCCAGACUCCUACGGGAGGCAGCAGUGGGGAAUAUUGCACCAUGGGCGGAAGCCUGAUGCAGCAACGCCGCGUGCGGGAUGACGGCCUUCGGGUUGUAAACCGCUUUCGCCUGUGACGAAGCGUGAGUGACGGUAAUGGGUAAAGAAGCACCGGCUAACUACGUG